CUAAAUUUGGCAACAUCCCAAACCAUCGUGACGUUACCUACAUCGUUGCUUCGGCGGGUGGCGGGCUUCGCGCUCCUGCCCUCGGCCCCUCUCGGGGGCCCGCCGGAGGUACACCAAACUCUUGAAUUUACAUGGCCUCUCUGAGUCUUCUGUACUGAAUAAGUCAAAACUUUCAACAACGGAUCUCUUGGUUCUGGCAUCGAUGAAGAACGCAGCGAAAUGCGAUAAGUAAUGUGAAUUGCAGAAUUCAGUGAAUCAUCGAAUCUUUGAACGCACAUUGCGCCCGCCAGUAUUCUGGCGGGCAUGCCUGUCCGAGCGUCAUUUCAACCAUCAAGCCCCCGGCUUGUGUUGGGGACCUGCGGCACACCCGCAGGCCCUGAAAACCAGUGGCGGGCUCGCUGUCCACACCGAGCGUAGUAGCAUAUCUUUGUCUCGCUCAGGGCGUGCGGCGGGUUCCGGCCGUGAAACCCACCUUCUCGAAGGUACCCAAAGGUUGACCUCGGAUCAGGUAGGAAGACCCGCUGAACUUAAGCAUAUCAAAUAAGAGGAGGGAACAG
This 557-nucleotide ribosomal RNA is filed under the name Dichotomopilus funicola. Its description in RNAcentral is "eukaryotic LSU rRNA". The stretch from base 168 to 321 matches the Rfam family "5.8S ribosomal RNA". Lineage: Eukaryota; Fungi; Ascomycota; Sordariomycetes; Sordariales; Chaetomiaceae. The record is from RNAcentral.